CCCAGCCAGGACAACAUCUCCUCCUGUCCCUACUGUGCCAGCCCCCUGUGCUCUCCUCCUGUCCCAUGUGGGUAAUGACCACUGGCACAGGGCUCAUUGAGGGAGGAAGAACUUCCACCGGGCUGGGGGACUGCCCUGCUUCCUUUUUUUCCCCCGCCAUUGUACUUCUCUGUCUUAUGCUAGCCCCCACCCGUCUCCUCCUUGUCUCUGUGACUCUCUUGGUGGUUUGGCUUCAACAAGGCUGGGGCCUGCAGCCAGCACAAUGAGGUCCAAAGGCCCAGGUCUCCUUCUGUCAUAGUGAGGUUGUCUGCUCUAAAGUUCCCCAGACCACUGUCAGUCUGUGUGUGAAGUGUCUCCCAGUCUGCAACAACGUGAAAAAAAUAAGGACAAUGCAGGGAUUUUUCCCUUAAAGCUAACUGUAUGUGAUUAAAGACCUGCCUUAUAUUCUAAACAUUGUUCUUCCUUUCUGAUGUGUGUGUGUGUGUGUGUGUGUGUGUGUGUGUGUGUGUGUGUGAGAGAGAGAGAGAGAGAGAGAGAGAGAGAGACAGAGAGAGAGAGAGAGAGAGACAGACAGAGAGACAGAGAGAGAGAGAAAUUAUACUGUCUUGAACAAUUGGGGUAGUUUUUCUCCCUAAUAACUUUUGUAAUAUUGGCCACCCUUUGUAGACACCCCCUCAUACUUUUUUGGGUGGUGGAGGUGGAUUUUACUCGACUAUGAAAUCUGGUCUGAAAACUGCAGCCUCGUCCAAGGAGAGGCCCAUCAGGACUCGAUAUGCUCCCUGGGAUUGCAGAGGGAGGGGGUGGUCUGGAAGAUGCAAUCUGGUAUCCCAGUGAGGCCACUGAGGCACAGGAUUGGGGCAUGGGUCACUUUUAUUAGUAGUUUAAAUUUCCCACAGCUCAGUUUAUUUUAAAAGCAGCAUUGUUUGGGAUUAUGGAUUUGGGAGACUCUGUUAAUGAGUGCCUGCCUUGCCAGUUUUUAGCAUGGUUCUGGCAAGUGACUUAGCCCCUCAGUGUCUCAGUUUCUUUGUCUGUUUAAUCAGAACCGUGGUGUCCUUCUCCUAGGGCUGUUGUGAGAAUGACAGUUCACGACAUUGUUUAGCUGCAAGGAGCUAUCAAAUGUUGUCCUUUAUUGGAGUCAUUUCUGACAACGUUCAGCUAGUGCUUCUCAGGGCUUCUACUAGUCUGCGGACAUUCAGGGUUUGAAGGGUGGUGGGGGACUCAGGGAAGCAUCAGAGAUGAUGAGUGGGCGAUCAGAGAUGAUGGGACUCAGGGAAGCGAUCAGAGAUGAUCACAGGGCAUGUGGGGCCAGGCGAGUCUUCUUUGAGUGGACUGUCCCAUGCAUUGUAGCUGUUAAGCAUCCCUGGGUCCCUGCCCAGUAAAUGCAGGCAUCACUCCCCAGUUUUUGUAGCUUACCUCUAUGAGUUCCGCAUUCCCCUUGGGCUGGUUCUGUUUUAGGGCAGAGCCACUAGUUGGGCGCUCUGGAGUGGUCUGAGGCAGUUAAGUCGAUGCAGUGUGGAAGAGAAGAGUCUUUAGAGAAUGGCCCAGGGGGCUGAUACUCCUAAACUGUGCCUGUUAAUGCUUGGUAUUCUGGUUUUCUUGGUGUUGGACAGAGAAAGAGCUUGGUGUCACAGAGGGAGCACAACACAGAGAGGCAGGAGAUCUGUACUCAGGCUCCAACCUCGCUAUUGCCUAGUUGGGGGACCUUGAGAAAAUUUCUUCCCUUUGUGGGUCUCAUCUGUAAAAUGAAGGCUAUGGAGAAAACAGUCUUCUAUGGCUCCAGGCUUUAUGGCUUCAGGCUCUGAAGGGAAAUGGCUUAGAUUUGAGUGAGGCCAAAGGAAGCACUUUCUACCUGUCAUGCUCUGAAGAGGGGGAGUAGGCCUGACUGCUUACCUCUGUCUGGAUUGGAAAAGAUGAAAUCUGAUAGGGAGGCCGGGCCUGGAAGGACUGACCUACUGAAGUAGCUGCCUAGACCAGUUCUCGUUUUAAAAAUUGUUUGUUUAAAUUUAGCUCAUUUUUUGAAUAUGUAAUACAGACACAUAUAAAGCAGUCUAAAUAUAAUGGGAAGUGUUCCCUCGCAUCCACCCAGCUCCCCUGCCCCAAAGGCCACUUCAGUUUAUCCUCCCAGGGAUAUUUCACUCUCAGUUUCUGUGACCCGAGACUGAGAUGAUAGUUUUAAACAUGCCGUGGUUGUUAUGCCUUUAGCUUUCUGGUUCUGAAGGGUGAGAAAUUUGAUCCUCCUGUAGCAUGUGGUUAGUUUCCUACAAUGAAUUUUCCCCUAUUAGUCAUAGUUUCUUUUUGCCACUCUUGGGUAGAGAUACAGCCUUUUUCAUCUCUCUCCAUUUUCCCCCACUCUCAAGUGCCCUGUCCUUCAUUUGAAUCAGGGAAUUCCUCAAACACAGAUCAAACUCGAGACAGGACAUCUGGAUGCCUUGCCUCUUCUCCCAUCCAUGGGUUUCAGAGGGAAACAUUUUACGUAAUUGUCUAUUUUGAUGAUUUCCAAAAUGGUGCCAAAGCCUUAUAUUCUUUUUUGUCUUGGAGCUUAACCCAAUCCUGCAAGUAACUGCUUUGUUUCUCAUCUGGUGUUGUAAAGUGUAUGCCCAGAGAGUGGGAAGCACUGUUGGAGGUUAACUGUGUAGUAGGAGAACUCCAGACUCAGAAGGGGAAAACCUGGGUUUGAGUGCAAAAUAAGUCUCUUUCUUGCUGUGUGAUCUUUGGCAAACUGCUUGGCCUCUCUGAACCUGUUUCCUCAUCUGUAAAAUGAGGGUUGCGCUACCUGCCCUUUACAGCUGUUUUUAAGGUUAUGUAGGGCAAUGAAUGUGAGUAUACUUCGCAAACUGUUAAGAGCCUUACAAUUGUAAUUCUUUAAAAAAGUAUAUAUUAAGUGUCUGUUGUGUUCUUGACACUAGAAAUAGUGUGGGAAAUGAGCUUAUAUUCUGCUGUGUGUGUGGUGGGUAGUGUAAGGGCAUAAGGGAAAGCAGGGAGACUGGCAGUAAAAAAGUUGAUAAUCAGACAAAUUUAGAUAAUGGUAAUUAUUACAAAGAAAAUAAAACAGUAAUGGAAUAGAGAUGGAGGGAAGGGGAUUGAAGUUCUUGUUAAAAGAGCAGGAAAAGCCUCUCUAAGUUUACACCUAGAUGUCAUGUGAAAAGCUGGUAAGCUGACUCCAGGCCUAGGAAACAGCAAGUGCAAAGGCCCUGGGGCAGGAACAACAGCUUUGGAGAAUUAAAAAAAAAAGAAAGAAAGAAAAAGGGAGAAUGAACUGUAAUAAAGUGGAUAUAGCAGAAACAAAGUGAGCAUGAUAGAGAAUGUCACAAGAAGUGGGGGAGAGGGUGGCCAGAAUAGGGUCAUAAAGGGCCUUGUGGACCAUGUUAAGAACUUGUAUUUUAUACUAUGUGCAAUGAGAGAUUGUAAGCAGGGAGAUGACAUGCUCAAUUUUCUCCUUUUGAAAGACCUUUCCUCCUGGAAUGUGGAGAAGAGAUUGUUGGUAGGCAAGGCAAGGCACUGAGGCGAGUUAGGAGCUAUUGUAGCAGCCUAGGCACGCGAUGAUGCCUGCAUACCGGAAAAAGCACAGCUAAAAUCAUCCUUGAGGUAUUUGGCUAUGAAGCUCAUGUAACAGUUUUCAUAUGAAAAGGGUAGUCUCCUGGUGUGAAGUAGGAUGUUCCCUCUUUUCCUUUUGCCCAUCUGCUUUGCUCUCUCUUAGGAGUAUGGAAGGCGUUGAAGUGGGCAGGGGUUCCUUUUCAGAUGGUCCAGGGGUUGGGACUACAUGGUCCUAUAAGUAAUCAGCAAAUACUUACUGAUUAUAGGAAGAUUUUUUGAGGCCUUUGGUUUUCACUUCAGGUCAGCCUUUACUGGGGACAAACAAGAAGCCUGGCAAGGCAGAGUCUACAUGAUUUGUACCGUCGAUGGGCACAAGGAGCAGCAGUGAUCACCAACACAGGGCCACCCAGAUGGCAGUGCAGGCUGUCCCCUACACAAGGGUACCUGGCUGAGAGGUGGGUCUGCAACCCAGUCCACACUCUGCUCACCAAGCAAUUUGCCCUGGUGUGGAGCUAUUAUCAGCAGGGAGAAAGUGCUGGCAGCAGGGCACCAUCUGGUUUAGCAGUAGCCCUUCCCAAACUCUUAGGGUUUCUGCUUGGUGGCCUGUUUUCCAGAGUCUGUCUUCACCUUCUGUAUUUGAGUCAGUCAGCAUUUCCCUGAACAAACAUUUAUUGACCACCUACUGUGUACCAGUUACCGGGUUUCCAUUAAUGGGCAGACAGACACACUUCCUGCCCUCACGAAGCUUAUAGUCUACUGGAGUUCACUCCAUCUUUCUUUCUUUGUAAUAGCUGGAGAGCUUCCUUUUGGGGAAGCCUGGGCUGAUCUCAGUUCCUCCCAGUAACUCUGAGUCAUGAGAUGUUGGCACCUGACUUGGAGGCACCUCUUGGAGCUGGGCAACAAUGACCACCAGCCACCAUACACAGGCAUCUCAGUCCAGAUUUUCAGGGGGAUGGGACCAGCGUGGCAAUGGACUGUUAUUAGUACGGCCCCUUCAUUCACCUCUGAUUAAGAGAAGCAAAA
This is a long non-coding RNA of Herpailurus yagouaroundi (jaguarundi), 4557 nucleotides long. RefSeq lists it as uncharacterized. The transcript has 2 exons. The record is from RefSeq and is a predicted model, not a curated record. NCBI's taxonomy places the organism in Eukaryota, Metazoa, Chordata, Mammalia, Carnivora, Felidae.